CUACGGGCCGCAGCAGUGGGGAAUAUUGGACAAUGGGGGAAACCCUUAUCCAGCAAUGCCGCGUGUGUGAAGAAGGCCUGCUGGUUGUAAAGCACUUUCGGUUGGGAGGACUGCUUCUAGCACUAAUAUUGUUGGAAGUUGACGUUACCUUCAGAAGAAGCACCGGCUAACUCCGUGCCAGCAGCCGCGGUAAUACGGAGGAUGCAAGCGUUAAUCGGAAUUACUGGGCGUAAAGCGCGCGUAGGCGGCUAGAUCAGUCGGGUGUGAAAGCCCCGGGCUUAACCUGGGAACUGCAUCCGAUACUGUCUAGCUUGAGUACAGGAGAGGAGAGUGGAAUUCCACAUGUAGCGGUGAAAUGCGUAGAUAUGUGGAGGAACACCAAUGGCGAAGGCAGCUCUCUGGCCUGAUACUGACGCUGAGGUGCGAAAGCGUGGGGAGCAAACAGGAUUAGAUACCCUAGUAGUC
This 465-nucleotide ribosomal RNA is filed under the name uncultured bacterium. Its description in RNAcentral is "partial 16S ribosomal RNA". It matches the Rfam family "Bacterial small subunit ribosomal RNA", at positions 339 to 795 of the family's 1533-position model. The record is from RNAcentral.